Molecule: ribosomal RNA, 293 nt
Filed under: uncultured bacterium
Lineage: Bacteria
Description: partial 16S ribosomal RNA
Rfam family: Bacterial small subunit ribosomal RNA
Source: RNAcentral
GUGUCAGCAGCCGCGGUAAUACGUAGGGGGCGAACGUUGUCCGGAUUUAUUGGGCGUAAAGAGCUCGUAGGCGGCUCAGCAAGUCGGCCGUGAAAACCCGGGGCUCAACCCCGGGACGCCGGUCGAAACUGCUGUGGCUAGGGUUCGGUAGAGGAGAGUGGAAUUCCCGGUGUAGCGGUGAAAUGCGCAGAUAUCGGGAGGAACACCAGUAGCGAAGGCGGCUCUCUGGGCCGAUACCGACGCUGAGGAGCGAAAGCUAGGGGAGCAAACAGGAUUAGAUACCCCAGUAGUCC